Molecule: long non-coding RNA, 631 nt
Filed under: Olea europaea (common olive)
Lineage: Eukaryota; Viridiplantae; Streptophyta; Magnoliopsida; Lamiales; Oleaceae
Description: long non-coding RNA (OEUR_LNC001992)
Source: RNAcentral
AAUACGCACGACGAAAAUGGCAACUCAAGCACUGCUCUCUUCAUCAUCCAUCAGCUCGUCUGCUGAGGUCGCCAGACAGAUUCUUGGAGGAAGGCCAGUCCAAUCUGCGAGGAAGGUUUCCUUCGUCGUGAAGGCUGCUUCUACUCCUCCCGUCAAGGUUAGUCUGUUAUGGACUAAACUCUAAUCUCUAGCUAUUUACGAGAGCAAAUAAUAAACAAAAUAGAGAUCGAAAACAAGUGCGCCCACAAUUCUACAGUGAUUCAUCCAUCAUAAGAGAGUUGCAUCCACUUUGACUCUUUCACGUUUUCACUGUACUGCACAUAUGCUUAUAAGCUCAAUUUUACUUAUUGCCAUUGAUUAUUUUGUCAGCAAGGAGCAGACAGGCCUCUCUGGUUUGCUUCCAAGCAGAGUCUUUCCUACCUGGAUGGCAGGUAAACUCGUGUGCUCUUGAUAAUACUAUUUUUCACCAAAACUGAAUAUCAAAUUAUGAUCUAACGACAAAUAGUGGAGUCAAAAAGAUGAAAAUCAGUCUUAAGUCUCUGUAUUUUGAACUUUUUCAGCCUCCCUGGUGACUAUGGAUUCGAUCCAUUGGGACUCUCGGAUCCUGAAGGUACUGGAGGAUUCAUUGAGC